UACGGAGGAUCCAAGCGUUAUCCGGAUUUAUUGGGUUUAAAGGGUGCGCAGGCGGGAGAUUAAGUCGGUGGUGAAAUUUUGCAGCUCAACUGUAAAAGUGCCAUUGAUACUGGUUUUCUUGAGUGUAGAUGAAGUAGGCGGAAUUUGUGGUGUAGCGGUGAAAUGCACAGAUAUCACGAGGAACGCCGAUUGCGCAGGCAGCUUACUAAACUAUAACUGACGCGCAGGCGCGAAGGCGUGGGGAUCAAACAGG
This 253-nucleotide ribosomal RNA is filed under the name uncultured Petrimonas sp. RNAcentral describes it as "partial 16S ribosomal RNA". It matches the Rfam family "Bacterial small subunit ribosomal RNA", at positions 524 to 776 of the family's 1533-position model. The record is from RNAcentral. Lineage: Bacteria; Pseudomonadati; Bacteroidota; Bacteroidia; Bacteroidales; Dysgonomonadaceae.